This 85-nucleotide transfer RNA is filed under the name Deltaproteobacteria bacterium. Its description in RNAcentral is "tRNA-Ser". It matches the Rfam family "tRNA". From Rfam's summary of the family: Transfer RNA (tRNA) molecules are approximately 80 nucleotides in length. Their secondary structure includes four short double-helical elements and three loops (D, anti-codon, and T loops). Lineage: Bacteria; Pseudomonadati; Myxococcota; Myxococcia. The record is from RNAcentral.
GGAGGGGUGGGUGAGUGGUUGAAACCGGCGGCCUUGAAAGCCGUUAAGCCUUCGGGCUUCGGGGGUUCGAAUCCCUCCCCCUCUG